AGUCGUAACAAGGUCUCCGUAGGUGAACCUGCGGAGGGAUCAUUAAACUAUCCUUUUCCAUAAAAAGAAAAGAACAGUUUAAAAACAGGGGGGGGUCUUGGUAGUUUGGGGGUCUCCAUAUUUCCAGUAUGGAGUCCACAAGCCACCGGGGUCCCUCUGAGUGUGGUUUUGUGGGGCUGAGCUUUAGAUGCUGGAAACAUCUACUCUCACUAUAGCCUUGCAUUGCUGCGACCUUUGAGUUCAUUAUUUUUUGGUAAGCUUCUCAAAGGCUCAUUCAAGUAUGGAAGAACCAUAAUGGCAACAUAGUGACAUUUUUUUUUUAUAAUCCAUUGAUGGUGGAUGACUCGGCUCCAGU
RNAcentral lists this unclassified non-coding RNA (355 nucleotides) under fungal sp. RNAcentral's name for it is "partial internal transcribed spacer region". The stretch from base 1 to 45 matches the Rfam family "Eukaryotic small subunit ribosomal RNA", at positions 1787 to 1831 of the family's 1831-position model. Lineage: Eukaryota; Fungi. The record is from RNAcentral.